UACAGAGGGGGCAAGCGUUAUUCGGAAUUAUUGGGCGUAAAGGGCGCGUAGGCGGCUUUGCAAGUGGCGGGUGAAAUCCCUCGGCUUAACCGAGGAACUGCCUGCCAGACUGUGAGGCUGGAGUGAGGUAGGGGUGUGUGGAACUUCCAGUGGAGCGGUGAAAUGUGUUGAUAUUGGAAGGAACGCCGGUGGCGAAAGCGACACACUGGACCUUGUCUGACGCUGAGGCACGAAAGCCAGGGGAGCAAACGGG
RNAcentral lists this ribosomal RNA (253 nucleotides) under uncultured bacterium. Its description in RNAcentral is "partial 16S ribosomal RNA". It matches the Rfam family "Bacterial small subunit ribosomal RNA", at positions 524 to 776 of the family's 1533-position model. The record is from RNAcentral.